Molecule: long non-coding RNA, 708 nt
Organism: Peromyscus californicus insignis
Lineage: Eukaryota; Metazoa; Chordata; Mammalia; Rodentia; Cricetidae
Exons: 2
Source: RefSeq, a predicted model, not a curated record
CAGGUAUUUUGGUGUCAACUGUUUUUAUAUUCCUGGGUUAUCUUUGGAUUUCUGAUGGAGUGUUUCCAUAGAGACUUGGUGUGCUUGGCUUGUUCCUUUUGAUUCAGGAACUGUUCCUACGUGUUCAUAUUUUCCUCGUGGGUACAUACUGUUCUUGGCUGCCUUUGGCAUCCAAGUUAUGCCCUCCUGCUUCCCAGGAACCUUUGAGGGAGCACUUUGUCCCUGGUGAGACACUGAGCUCUAGAAAGUUGGGAAUGGUGCCGGCUGGAACACAAACAAGCUUUUCUUUAGAGUGGGUCCACUCACCCUGCUCCAGCUGGGGACACAUGGCUCUCCACCUCCUGUCUGCCCUGAGCCCCUUGGCAGCAGCCACCAGCUUGGGGGUCCUGGAUUUGCUGCUUUGGGGCUGGACCUGUUCUGCACCCUUCAGAGAGAGAAGCUGAAGAAAGGCAGUUUGAAGUGGGAAGCCGGAGACAGUGGGGGAGUAGGAGAAAAAGAAAACCUCAUUGUUUUUGACAUUUCUGGAAAGCUCUGGGCUGAUCUCGGUGUCAGGGGCCGUGUGUGGGAUCCACUGCACCAGGGCGACUUUUGCAGCCUUCCUUAAUUAGCUCUGUCUUUUCUGUGGUGGCUUCUGGGUCUCUCAUGGGACUGAUUGAAUCCUUCUAAAACCAAGACCUGCACAGAGGUGCUGAGGACUCUGGUAAUUUC